AGAUUGAACGCUGGCGGCAGGCCUAACACAUGCAAGUCGAGCGGUAGAGAGGUGCUUGCAUCUCUUGAGAGCGGCGGACGGGUGAGUAAUGCCUAGGAAUCUGCCUAGUGGUGGGGGAUAACGUUCGGAAACGGACGCUAAUACCGCAUACGUCCUACGGGAGAAAGCGGGGGACCUUCGGGCCUCGCGCCAUUAGAUGAGCCUAGGUCGGAUUAGCUAGUUGGUGAGGUAAUGGCUCACCAAGGCGACGAUCCGUAACUGGUCUGAGAGGAUUAUCAGUCACACUGGAACUGAGACACGGUCAGACU
This 308-nucleotide ribosomal RNA is filed under the name uncultured soil bacterium. RNAcentral describes it as "bacterial SSU rRNA". It matches the Rfam family "Bacterial small subunit ribosomal RNA", at positions 26 to 337 of the family's 1533-position model. The record is from RNAcentral.